This 447-nucleotide ribosomal RNA is filed under the name uncultured bacterium. RNAcentral describes it as "bacterial SSU rRNA". It matches the Rfam family "Bacterial small subunit ribosomal RNA", at positions 335 to 774 of the family's 1533-position model. The record is from RNAcentral.
ACUCCUACGGGAGGCAGCAGUAGGGAAUCUUCCACAAUGGACGAAAGUCUGAUGGAGCAACGCCGCGUGAACGAUGAAGGCUUUCGGUCGUAAAGUUCUGUUGUAAGGGAAGAACAAGUGCCGCAGGCAAUGGCGGCACCUUGACGGUACCUUGCGAGAAAGCCACGGCUAACUACGUGCCAGCAGCCGCGGUAAUACGUAGGUGGCAAGCGUUGUCCGGAAUUAUUGGCGUAAAGCGCGCGCAGGCGGCCUCUUAAGUCUGAUGUGAAAGCCCCGGCUCAACCGGGGGAGGGGCCGAUUGGAAACUGGGAGGCUUGAGUAUAGGAGAGAAGAGUGGAAUUCCACGUGUAGCGGUGAAAUGCGUAGAGAUGUGGAGGAACACCAGUGGCGAAGGCGACUCUUUGGCCUAUAACUGACGCUGAGGCGCGAAAGCGUGGGGAGCAAACA